This 859-nucleotide ribosomal RNA is filed under the name uncultured Pseudoalteromonadaceae bacterium. RNAcentral describes it as "bacterial SSU rRNA". It matches the Rfam family "Bacterial small subunit ribosomal RNA", at positions 28 to 873 of the family's 1533-position model. Lineage: Bacteria; Pseudomonadati; Pseudomonadota; Gammaproteobacteria; Alteromonadales; Pseudoalteromonadaceae. The record is from RNAcentral.
AUUGAACGCUGGCGGCAGGCCUAACACAUGCAAGUCGAGCGGAAACGAGUUAUCUGAACCUUCGGGGAACGAUAACGGCGUCGAGCGGCGGACGGGUGAGUAAUGCCUAGGAAAUUGCCCUGAUGUGGGGGAUAACCAUUGGAAACGAUGGCUAAUACCGCAUGAUGCCUACGGGCCAAAGAGGGGGACCUUCGGGCCUCUCGCGUCAGGAUAUGCCUAGGUGGGAUUAGCUAGUUGGUGAGGUAAGGGCUCACCAAGGCGACGAUCCCUAGCUGGUCUGAGAGGAUGAUCAGCCACACUGGAACUGAGACACGGUCCAGACUCCUACGGGAGGCAGCAGUGGGGAAUAUUGCACAAUGGGCGCAAGCCUGAUGCAGCCAUGCCGCGUGUAUGAAGAAGGCCUUCGGGUUGUAAAGUACUUUCAGUCGUGAGGAAGGUAGCGUAGUUAAUAGCUGCAUUAUUUGACGUUAGCGACAGAAGAAGCACCGGCUAACUCCGUGCCAGCAGCCGCGGUAAUACGGAGGGUGCGAGCGUUAAUCGGAAUUACUGGGCGUAAAGCGCAUGCAGGUGGUUUGUUAAGUCAGAUGUGAAAGCCCGGGGCUCAACCUCGGAAUAGCAUUUGAAACUGGCAGACUAGAGUACUGUAGAGGGGGGUAGAAUUUCAGGUGUACGGGUGAAAUGCGUAGAAAUCUGAAAGAAUACCGGGUGGCAAAGGCGGACCCCUGGACAGAUACUGACACUUAGAAUGCGAAUGCUUGGGGAUCAACCAGGAUUUAAAUUCCUGUGUUAUCCUAGGGGAAAUUCUCCACGGGAUCCACUCUUUCGAUACCGCCAACCCCAAGAAAGGAGCGAUAUCUAA